CCUGGAUGAAGUCUGAAUCCAGCCAGUUGUACACUAGUUAGGGGAAGCAAUUCUUUACCACCAAUAGGAGGUUUCUCAAUUACAGAACGGAGGGAACUAUUAUCCUGAUGACCAGGGGUGUCAAUCAUUCCAGAGAAACCUAAUAUUUUCGUCAGGCGGUCGGGGGUCCAUUGCUGAACUACAAUAUUGGAGCUGAAUUAGGAGGUAGAGGCCUUGCGACUGGCCAGUCCUUCGUCCAAGGAGUCCUACUGAAUGUCUAUAGUAAACCUCUUCCAGUCUGGAGGAUAGAAAGACUGGCCAUGGAAGAUGUAUCCACUUUAUAUUUGUCAUCAAAAGAAAGUCAUGAUAUGGAUGGAUAAAACAUGAACCAAUGAAGAUCAUUAUGUUCAGCAAGAUUAACUGCCACCACAUUACUGCAACAGUGUGUGAGAUCAUUUACCUGAAGAUGGAUAAGCUGUACGGAAAGCGCAGAGUAUCCACAUUGAUCUGCCAAUCUGCCAUCAGACAUAAAUUGUGGGGUGACCUAAUGAAGUGAGUACUGAUGGAGAAUGUGAGAAGUAGGACUGAAUUUCCUUGCAUGAUUACUUCAUCAGAAAUAUGCCUAGAAGUGUGUAUGUGCUGUGCAUUGUUGCUAACAAUGCACUGACAGUGAACACUUGCCACAGAAAGGUAAAUGCCCUAAAGACAGACUAACAUCUGUAUGCUUCAGUGUCAAUAAACUGUGUUAACAUUUAAUAGGAAAACUCUGUAUAUAUAAAAAAAGAAAUAGCAACUGCUUUCUUUUGUGUAAACCAAUCAAUGGUAAUCUGUUUCUUCAGAGUCAAGCAGAUACAACCAGGAAAGCCUUACUUCCCUAAAUUUCUUUUUAACUGACACCCACUUGGCAUGGUACAAUUUUAAUUCUGACAUGUUUAUGAGGUUGAUUCAGAAAGUUAAAAUAAUAGAUAUAUUGAUGUCAACUUGUGAUGCAACUUUGAAAUUGCAUAAAACCAUGCUCAAAGUAUUGUUCUUGGACAAAUACACACAUUUGUAACUGUGUGUAUAGUUCUUGAAAGCAAUGCUAGAAAUAAUUUUCCAGAAUGCUCUUCAGAGUGUUUCACAUCAUGCUCGCUACUGAAAUGCCAUUCCUUCAGCUGAGAUUUCAUGACCCUAAAGAUGCGAAAGUCUGGCAAGAGAUCAGGCGAGUAUCAAAGGUGUGGCAUUAUUGUCACAUUGGUUCUGCCAGGUCGCUACAAUGUUGACAUCUUGAUGGGUGAUAGUGCCUUUCCAAUAGAAUAAUUCAACACCACUUAGCAGACGAACUUAUAAAGUAUGUGGCAUGUUUGGCACACCAUACAUUUCCCAGUGAUGCUCUUUCAUGAAACCACCACUAUUUUCUGAUUUCCAUACCUAUGACUGCCACAAUGAAUCUGUUACUGGAACUUUCUGAACCAACUUCAUAUGAGUUUGUGGUGAAAUGUGACAAUCGAUUAUUAUGAAAACAAUGUAGAUAAGUACUUUGAAACAUUUUGUCUGUAAACAUAAUAAUAUCCCUUUUACAUAAGUGUUUUAAGACUUGUCCUCCUACAAAGUAUAAUACUUCAAAUUAGUAAGUAAAUACACAAACACAGACAGAUAUCCAAUUGAGAUAUAGCAUAUAAUCACACUAUGUUAACAAUUCUUGUUCCUUACAGAAAUUAAGCUAGAUAUCAGGCUCCAAUAUUCACUAUGCAUUCUAUAUUUUCAACUAUGACAAUGUAUCUUACACCAACAUAAUAUUAUCAGUAAAAAGAAUAAUUUCUACAUUAAGUUAAAUGCAAAAUUACAGAUACUACCUGUAGUAAAAGUAAACAAUUAUUUUAUUUCAAAUCUAACCAAUCACAAUCAUCAUUGGCUUGAUUAGUUUGCUUUCAUAUUCAUGAUGAAUAUAUAUUCUACACUGAAUGAUCAUUUAAAUUCUAAUCUAAAUGUAUCAUUGCAUUUCAAAAUGAUGUCUGAAAGCAAGUAAGUACUCAAAAGCAUCGCACUUUCAGUUCAUUCAUUUGAUGUUACAUGUUCUGAGUUACUGACAGAGUUGUUAAAUAAAACAUAAACAAAUAAAUAGUUAACCCUUACAGCUCUGUCUGAAAAUCAAGAUACAAAAUAAUGCUCCUAACUUUGUGUUGUAUGUACUGUUGCUUGUACUACAAAAAAUACAGAACUGCAGAGCUUCACCAACUGUUCUCAAUAUAAAGACAAUUAUAUUACAUGAGUUCUAAGCCAAACACAGUCAGUUCUUGAUUAAGUCACAUUCCAGAGAGUCAAAAUAAAGUGCAACCCUUGUGUAGUGUCACAGAACAAUGGAGAAAUGGUGUGUAUCUGAUUACCCAAACCAAUAUAUUUUAUACAUUUAUUUUUAGUUACAUAUAAAGUUAUGGACAAUGAAGUUUCCAUAAUAUCAUUUUCAGAAUAUUUAUACUCUUCAUAAACUUUGAUAUUAUAUACACAAACUUGUUACAUUCAGACAACAGUCUCAGGUCCCAAUAUCUGUGAUAUCACACAACUGGGAUCAGUAAGCUGUUUAAAGAAUUACAGUCUAAGAGCGGGCUGGAGUAACUAAUAACAAGCUUGGAGCUGGAAAUAAUCACGUGCUGUAAAUUUAAAAAUCGAAAAAUAAAUCAAUAUGUUACAGUUGUU
Long non-coding RNA from Zootermopsis nevadensis, 2655 nucleotides. RefSeq lists it as uncharacterized. NCBI's taxonomy places the organism in Eukaryota, Metazoa, Arthropoda, Insecta, Blattodea, Termopsidae. The record is from RefSeq and is a predicted model, not a curated record.